GCGACCAUCGUAUAACGGUAUUACCCUGGCUUCCCAAGCCAGAGACACGGGUUCGACUCCCGCUGGUCGCU
RNAcentral lists this transfer RNA (71 nucleotides) under Spirochaetes bacterium GWB1_60_80. RNAcentral's name for it is "tRNA-Gly". It matches the Rfam family "tRNA". Rfam says of the family: Transfer RNA (tRNA) molecules are approximately 80 nucleotides in length. Their secondary structure includes four short double-helical elements and three loops (D, anti-codon, and T loops). Further hydrogen bonds mediate the characteristic L-shaped molecular structure. tRNAs have two regions of fundamental functional importance: the anti-codon, which is responsible for specific mRNA codon recognition, and the 3' end, to which the tRNAs corresponding amino acid is attached (by aminoacyl-tRNA synthetases). tRNAs cope with the degeneracy of the genetic code in two manners: having more than one tRNA (with a specific anti-codon) for a particular amino acid; and 'wobble' base-pairing, i.e. permitting non-standard base-pairing at the 3rd anti-codon position. RNAcentral also lists the same sequence under 3 other names. Lineage: Bacteria; Pseudomonadati; Spirochaetota. The record is from RNAcentral.